CUCUCUGUAGCAUAAAGGUCUAUGCAUUUGUUUCAUACGCAAAAAAUCUGAGUUCGAUUCUCGGCGGAGAGU
This 72-nucleotide transfer RNA is filed under the name Diacronema viridis. RNAcentral describes it as "tRNA-Met". It matches the Rfam family "tRNA". Rfam says of the family: Transfer RNA (tRNA) molecules are approximately 80 nucleotides in length. Their secondary structure includes four short double-helical elements and three loops (D, anti-codon, and T loops). The record is from RNAcentral. Lineage: Eukaryota; Haptophyta; Pavlovophyceae; Pavlovales; Pavlovaceae.